UGAGCCCUUGUGGACCUAUCCCUUUCUCU
This 29-nucleotide non-coding RNA is filed under the name Rattus norvegicus (Norway rat). The record is from RNAcentral. Lineage: Eukaryota; Metazoa; Chordata; Mammalia; Rodentia; Muridae.